GAAAGUAAAGAAGGGCGCAUGGCGGAUGCCUUGGCUCUCGGAGGCGAUGAAGGACGUGAUAAGCUGCGAUAAGCUCCGGGGAGGUGCAAAUAACCUUUGAUCCGGGGAUUUCCGAAUGGGACAACCCGGCGUGUUGAAGACACGCCACCUGAUCAUUUCAGGAGCUAACGCAGGGAACUGAAACAUCUUAGUACCUGCAGGAAAAGAAAAUAACAAUGAUUCCCCCAGUAGUGGCGAGCGAACGGGGAAUAGCCCAAACCGUUCAUGUUACGGCAUGAUCGGGGUUGUAGGACUACGUCGUUGCAUGAAGACAUCGGAGAAGAACUUUCUGGAAAGAAAGACCAUAGAGCAUGACAGUUGCGUAUUCGUAUGUUGUCGAAGCAUAGUAGUAUCCUGAGUAGCGCGGAGCACGAGGAAUUCUGCGUGAAUCUGCCGGGACCAUCCGGUAAGGCUAAAUACUCCCGAGAGACCGAUAGCGAACCAGUACCGUGAGGGAAAGGUGAAAAGCACUUCGAACAGAAGAGUGAAAUAGUUCCUGAAACCGUGCGCCUACAAGCGGUCGGAGCUGCUUAAAGCAGUGACGGCGUGCCUUUUGCAUAAUGAACCUACGAGUUGCCUUUGCCGGCAAGGUUAAGUGUGACGACACACGUAUCCGAAGCGAAAGCGAGUCUGAAUAGGGCGUAUAGUCGGCAGUGGCAGACGCGAAACCAAGUGAUCUACCCUUGGCCAGGUUGAAGGCUGGGUAACACCAGCUGGAGGACCGCACCAAUAAGCGUUGAAAAGCUUCUGGAUGAGCUGAGGGUAGGGGUGAAAGGCUAAUCAAACUUGGAGAUAGCUCGUACUCCCCGAAAUGCAUUUAGGUGCAGCCUUGUGGGUUACUGAUGUGAGGUAGAGCGACUGAUAAGAUGCGAGGGCUUCACCGCCUAUCAAGUCUUGACAAACUCCGAAUGCGCAUCAGUUUUACCUCAGGAGUGAGGGCAUGGGUGCUAAGGUCCGUGCCCGAGAGGAGAAGAAUCCGGACCACCUGCUAAGGUCCCGAAAUGACAGCUAAGUUAAACUAACGAAGUCUGACUGCUAAGACAGCUAGGAUGUUGGCUUGGAAGCAGCCAUUCAUUUAAAGAGUGCGUAACAGCUCACUAGUCGAGGAGUCUGGCGUGGAUAAUAAUCGGGUAUUAAGUUGUCUACCGAAGCAGUGGGAUCAUUGAAAUGAUCGGUAGGGGAGCAUUCCAGUCAGCGUCGAAGGCGUACCGCGAGGUAUUCUGGAGCGUCUGGAAAAGCAAAUGUAGGUAUAAGUAACGAUAAAGGGGGCGGGAAACCCCCUCGCCGAAAGACUAAGGUUUCCUGAUCAACGCUAAUCGGAUCAGGGUAAGUCGGGUCCUAAGGCUCAGCCGAAGGGCGAUGCCGAUGGCAGAAACGGUUAAUAUUCCGUUACUACCUCCAGGAGUGAUGUGGAGACGCAGUAGUGACAAUGCCGCCAUCUGACGGAAUAGAUGGUUGAAGGGUGUAGAUGUUGAUCUUGGCAGGCAAAUCCACCAUGAGAAUCGAACCUGAUAGUAUGCCGCGUCCCUCGGGACAAGGCAAUAGUGCAUGUAAUCAUGCUGCCAAGAAAAUCCGCUAAACAAAAUCCUGUAGGUACCCGUACCGUAAACGGACACACGUAGUCGGGAUGAAUAUUCUAAGGCGCUUGAGUGAUUCACGGUUAAGGAACUAGGCAAACUGACCCUGUAACUUCGGGAUAAAGGGUCCCUACCCGGUGACGGGAGGGCGCAGAGAAUAGGUCCAGGCAACUGUUUAACAAAAACACAGGGCUGUGCUAAAUCGAAAGAUCCUGUAUACAGCCUGACACCUGCCCGGUGCUGGAAGGUUAAGAGGAGACGUCAUCGUUGAGAGAAGCGUUGAAUUGAAGCCCCAGUAAACGGCGGCCGUAACUAUAACGGUCCUAAGGUAGCGAAAUUCCUUGUCGGGUAAGUUCCGACCUGCACGAAUGGUGUAAU
RNAcentral lists this ribosomal RNA (1994 nucleotides) under human gut metagenome. RNAcentral's name for it is "bacterial LSU rRNA". It matches the Rfam family "Bacterial large subunit ribosomal RNA", at positions 1 to 2005 of the family's 2925-position model. The record is from RNAcentral.